This 91-nucleotide transfer RNA is filed under the name Zymoseptoria tritici IPO323. Its description in RNAcentral is "Zymoseptoria tritici tRNA-Asn for anticodon GUU". The record is from RNAcentral. Lineage: Eukaryota; Fungi; Ascomycota; Dothideomycetes; Mycosphaerellales; Mycosphaerellaceae.
UCCCCCGUGGCGCAAUUGGCUAGCGCGUUCGACUGUUAUCUGCCAGCAGACAACGAUCGGGAGGUUCAUAGUUCGACCCUAUGCGGGGGAG